Molecule: ribosomal RNA, 301 nt
Filed under: uncultured bacterium
Lineage: Bacteria
Description: partial 16S ribosomal RNA
Rfam family: Bacterial small subunit ribosomal RNA
Source: RNAcentral
CAGCAGCCGCGGUAAUACAGAGGGUGCAAGCGUUAAUCGGAAUUACUGGGCGUAAAGUGCGCGUAGGUGGUUUGUUAAGUUGGAUGUGAAAUCCCCGGGCUCAACCUGGGAACUGCAUCCAAAACUGGCAAGCUAGAGUAUGGUAGAGGGUGGUGGAAUUUCCUGUGUAGCGGUGAAAUGCGUAGAUAUAGGAAGGAACACCAGUGGCGAAGGCGACCACCUGGACUGAUACUGACACUGAGGUGCGAAAGCGUGGGGAGCAAACAGGAUUAGAUACCCGCGUAGUCCCUGUCUCUUAUAC